GACGAACGCUGGCGGCGUGCUUAACACAUGCAAGUCGAACGGAAAGGCCCUGCUUUUGUGGGGUGCUCGAGUGGCGAACGGGUGAGUAACACGUGAGUAACCUGCCCUCGACUUUGGGAUAACUUCAGGAAACUGGGGCUAAUACCGGAUAGGAGCUCCUGCUGCAUGGUGGGGGUUGGAAAGUUUCGGCGGUUGGGGAUGGACUCGCGGCUUAUCAGCUUGUUGGUGGGGUAGUGGCUUACCAAGGCUUUGACGGGUAGUCGGCCUGAGAGGGUGACCGGCCACAUUGGGACUGAGAUACGGCCCAGACUCCUACGGGAGGCAGCAGUGGGGAAUAUUGCACAAUGGGCGGAAGCCUGAUGCAGCAACGCCGCGUGCGGGAUGACGGCCUUCGGGUUGUAAACCGCUUUCGCCUGUGACGAAGCGUGAGUGACGGUAAUGGGUAAAGAAGCACCGGCUAACUACGUG
This 468-nucleotide ribosomal RNA is filed under the name uncultured bacterium. Its description in RNAcentral is "partial 16S ribosomal RNA". It matches the Rfam family "Bacterial small subunit ribosomal RNA", at positions 28 to 507 of the family's 1533-position model. The record is from RNAcentral.